This 330-nucleotide unclassified non-coding RNA is filed under the name uncultured fungus. Its description in RNAcentral is "partial contains small subunit ribosomal RNA, internal transcribed spacer 1, and 5.8S ribosomal RNA". The stretch from base 1 to 73 matches the Rfam family "Eukaryotic small subunit ribosomal RNA", at positions 1759 to 1831 of the family's 1831-position model. The record is from RNAcentral. Lineage: Eukaryota; Fungi.
GCAAACUUGGUCAUUUAGAGGAAGUAAAAGUCGUAACAAGGUUUCCGUAGGUGAACCUGCGGAAGGAUCAUUACCAGGAAAAUCGACGUCCUUUCGAGGUCGUCGGUCCUCCAACCUUUGUGUAUCUUACCUUUUCAACGUUGCCUCGGCGGGCCUGGCCCAUCGCGGUCCCUCCCACCCGGCCUCAGCGCCGGAGGGGGGAGCUGCCCGCCGCAGGAACAAACCAAAACCUCUUUGUAUGACGAACGUCUGAUAUACUUCUCGCGAAUGCGAUAAAGUACAACUUUCAACAAUGGAUCUCUUGGCUCCAGCAUCGAUGAAGAACGCAGC